Molecule: non-coding RNA, 29 nt
Filed under: Cricetulus griseus (Chinese hamster)
Lineage: Eukaryota; Metazoa; Chordata; Mammalia; Rodentia; Cricetidae
Source: RNAcentral
ACUUGCAUAUGAGUGCUUGGCUCUUCUGU